Molecule: unclassified non-coding RNA, 1728 nt
Filed under: Daphnia pulicaria
Lineage: Eukaryota; Metazoa; Arthropoda; Branchiopoda; Diplostraca; Daphniidae
Description: rRNA methyltransferase 1, mitochondrial-like, transcript variant X3
Source: RNAcentral
AGACAUUUAAAAAAUACAAACAUGUGGUCUUUCAAAGCUUCUCAAGUAGUUGCACGGCGAUGCUUUUGUAAAAAUUCCAUUUCCAGAGCAGGAAUAGAUUUGAUGUCAUUAGAAAAAAAGCAAAGUCCAGGACGUGAAGAGUUUUAUUUCGAUAUUCUUUACGGUAUUCAUCCAAUCAGUUGCGCCCUCGAAGCAAAACGUCGGACCAUAGAGACCGUCUACUACCGAAGAGAUUUGCUGAACCACAGUGGACGAGUCAAGGAAAUACUGGAACGAUGUUGGGAGGAAAAUAUCAAAACUCUACCGAUACCGGCGAGCAAAAUUGACACAAUUGUACCUAAAGGAAAGCCACAUCAAGGGCUACUUGCAAAGACUACUCGUUUGUAUUACAUACCUACACCCUGCACUCAGUCUAUUGCUCAAUUAUCCUCUGAGAAAGAGGCUUCCAAACCUGUGUGGCUUCUGCUCAAUGAAAUACAGGAUCCCAUGAAUUUCGGCUCCAUAUUAAGGUCAGCUUACUUUAUGGGAUGUGAUAAGAUUUUCGUCACUUCUCACAAAAGCUGUUCAUUGACUCCAGUUGUAAGCAAAGCCAGUUCUGGGGUCAUGGAGCUGAUGCCUAUCCAUUCCAUCAUGAACACAACUGAAUUUUGCCAAGUUUUAAAAGAGUCCAAAUGGGAUGUUGUGGGAACAGGAUCUAAGACUGACGAAUCCAACGGGACGGUAUGUAAGCCUACUCCAGUUGGUUCAUUUCAACUGAGUAAUCCAACUCUCAUCAUAUUAGGAAACGAAGGGCGUGGGCUACCGGACGAACUUGUGGACCUCUGCACCCACCAAAUCUACGUUGAAUCUCGAAGCAACCUCAAUAAGAACGUGGAUUCGAUGAAUGUUUCCGCUGCUGCCGCAGUUAUCUUGCACAGCGUUCUCAAUAAUAGCAACAAUCGCAGAUAGUCAUCCGGAAUUCCUUACUUUGUCAUGCACGUAAUAAUGGCACUAGGUGAAAGCUGGGCCUUUAUAUUCAACCGGCUUUUCAGUUUCGUUUAGAGUAUAUGCUUCAGGCGACUUAGGCGUGUUUCCCUCACAAUGCAAAGGUCCCACUCAUUUCUUUCUUUAAGUCUUCAUUCUCUACGUGCGCGCUACCAGGGCUGGAUCGCAAGAUUGAUUAGUCUUAGUUCCAAGGACUUGCAAUUUUUUGAACGGAUUAUUCUAUAUACAUUGUGUUUAAACUGAAGGUGGCGAUAUGCAGAGGUUUUUUCGAUCAAGAAAGAGAAUUCUGGUGUUGACGAUGACCAUCUUGCUAAUUGUUUUCUUGAGUGAUUGUGCAGUGGACGCCGCGGUUGCAGGACAGCGGAUAUCGGAUAUUAAAGAGGACUCUGUAUUAUUAACAUCGCCAGCGCACAACAUCGUCAAGAGGCACUUUAAAUUUUACGAUGAUAAAAAGUAUGGAGAUGGUAGUUUAAAGAAAUUUUUCAUCAUGCUCAAGAUUAUUUUGACACUUUUUGGUAAACAUUAGCAUUUUCCUUUGUGUUCUUAAAUGUGUGUGUACUACUGUAUUGUGUAAGAUUAUGCGUCCAACACUAUUCACCCCAUUGCUCAGGCAUGUACUAAAAGAAUACUUUAGAGACAUUUAACUGCUGUUCCAUCAAUCAUUUAUGUAUUAAAAAUGGUCAAAUGAAGAAAAACACAAAACAACCCCCAAAUAUUGCAAUAAAACUGAGUCAAUAAGUUAAA